CGCAGGGUAGAGCAGAUGGCAGCUCGUCGGGCUCAUAACCCGGAGGUCAGAGGUUCGAGUCCUCUCCCUGCUA
This 73-nucleotide transfer RNA is filed under the name Treponema sp. RNAcentral describes it as "tRNA-Met". It matches the Rfam family "tRNA". Rfam says of the family: Transfer RNA (tRNA) molecules are approximately 80 nucleotides in length. Lineage: Bacteria; Pseudomonadati; Spirochaetota; Spirochaetia; Treponematales; Treponemataceae. RNAcentral also lists the same sequence under 1 other name. The record is from RNAcentral.